GCAGUAGUUCUCCUUUAAGAAGAACAUGAGACCAGCCUUGUCAAGGAAAGGAAAAGAAAGCAGCAGCAGCUCUCUACAGACACAGAAAGGCUUUAAGCAGGAACCUGCUCCAGAUCCGAGCUUCAGUCUUCAUUAAGAAGAAAGUGGAGGUUGGUCCUAUGUGGUACAUGGUUUGUGUCAUAACACGUAUUGUACUUUUGUUGCUGGAGCUCUGAUUUUCCAACUUGCUGGUGCAUGGAGAGCCCCAGAAGUGCAGGAGUUUGUCUCCGUUGGACAAGUUGUCUGGCUGGCGUCCAUCAAUGUGGCUAGCAGAAGUCCUUGGCCGGCGUGUGGAGGUGUGGAAACAUCACAAGAAAACACGAAACAACUUCCUAAAUUAAGGUGUGUGAUGGCCUGGCUGGUAGCACUGCUUUCAGAAAGAGGAAACCACAAGCACCUGAGCAAGCUGUGGCUGAUAAGGAGAGGGCUGGUGGCUAAGGACAGUUAGCCUCCUCGUGGCAAGGGUAAAGGUCUGCGUGGCAGGGGCACUGCUCAGCCCUGUGCCUGCCUGGAUGGCAGCUGGGAGAUUAUUCUGCGUGGGCUCAUGCUGUGCUGCCUGUGGCAUGAACACUCAGAGUGAAAGCUGUAAGUAA
Molecule: long non-coding RNA, 632 nt
Filed under: Cairina moschata (Muscovy duck)
Lineage: Eukaryota; Metazoa; Chordata; Aves; Anseriformes; Anatidae
Description: domestica (muscovy Duck (domestic type)) lncRNA (ENSCMMG00000011498.1)
Source: RNAcentral